RNAcentral lists this ribosomal RNA (253 nucleotides) under uncultured bacterium. RNAcentral describes it as "partial 16S ribosomal RNA". It matches the Rfam family "Bacterial small subunit ribosomal RNA", at positions 524 to 776 of the family's 1533-position model. The record is from RNAcentral.
UACGGGGGGGGCAAGCGUUGUUCGGAAUUACUGGGCGUAAAGGGCGCGUAGGCGGUUUGCUAAGUUGGAUGUGAAAACUCUGGGCUUAACCCAGAGCCUGCAUCCAAAACUAGCAGGCUAGAGUUCUGGAGGGGAUAGCGGAAUUCCUGGUGUAGCGGUGAAAUGCGUAGAUAUCAGGAGGAACACCGAUGGCGAAGGCAGGUCUCUGGGCAUUAACUGACGCUGAGGAGCGAAAGCAUGGGGAGCGAACAGG